UACUUCCAGGGUAGGGGUGAAAUCCUGUAAUCCUGGGGGGACCACCAGUGGCGAAGGCGUCCGACCAGAACGGCUCCGACGGUAAGGGACGAAGCCCUGGGGCGCAAACGGGAUUAGAUACCCCGGUAGUCCAGGGUGUAAACGCUGCGGGCUUGGUGUCGGGGGUCCUAUGAGGGCGCUCGGUGCCGGAGUGAAAAUGUUAAGCCUGCUACCUGGGGAGUACGGUCGCAAGACUGAAACUUAAAGGAAU
Molecule: ribosomal RNA, 250 nt
Filed under: uncultured archaeon
Lineage: Archaea
Description: partial 16S ribosomal RNA
Rfam family: Archaeal small subunit ribosomal RNA
Source: RNAcentral